This 231-nucleotide ribosomal RNA is filed under the name Clostridioides difficile. RNAcentral's name for it is "partial 23S ribosomal RNA". It matches the Rfam family "Bacterial large subunit ribosomal RNA", at positions 1 to 230 of the family's 2925-position model. The record is from RNAcentral. Lineage: Bacteria; Bacillati; Bacillota; Clostridia; Peptostreptococcales; Peptostreptococcaceae.
UGGUCAAGUUAUUAAGGGUGCAGGGCGGAUGCCUUGGCACUAGGAGCCGAUGAAGGACGUGAUAAGCUGCGAUAAGCUUCGGGGAGUUGCACGUAAACUUUGAACCGAAGAUUUCCGAAUGAGGAAACUCACUUAGAGUAAUGUCUAAGUAUCAUUAAGUGAAUACAUAGCUUAAUGAGGGGAACUCAGGGAACUGAAACAUCUAAGUACCUGAAGGAAGAGAAAGAAAUU